RNAcentral lists this ribosomal RNA (787 nucleotides) under uncultured bacterium. RNAcentral describes it as "bacterial SSU rRNA". It matches the Rfam family "Bacterial small subunit ribosomal RNA", at positions 636 to 1423 of the family's 1533-position model. The record is from RNAcentral.
UNUGACUUGAGUGCAGAAGGGGAGAGUGGAAUUCCAUGUGUAGCGGUGAAAUGCGUAGAUAUAUGGAGGANCACCAGUGGCGAAAGCGGCUCUCUGGUCUGUCACUGACGCUGAGGCUCGAAAGCGUGGGUAGCGAACAGGAUUAGAUACCCUGGUAGUCCACGCCGUAAACGAUGAGUGCUAGGUGUUAGGCCCUUUCCGGGGCUUAGUGCCGGAGCUAACGCAAUAAGCACUCCGCCUGGGGAGUACGACCGCAAGGUUGAAACUCAAAGGAAUUGACGGGGGCCCGCACAAGCGGUGGAGCAUGUGGUUUAAUUCGAAGCAACGCGAAGAACCUUACCAGGUCUUGACAUCCCGAUGCUAUUCUUAGAGAUAGGAAGUUACUUCGGUACAUCGGAGACAGGUGGUGCAUGGUUGUCGUCAGCUCGUGUCGUGAGAUGUUGGGUUAAGUCCCGCAACGAGCGCAACCCUUAUUGUUAGUUGCCAUCAUUAAGUUGGGCACUCUAGCGAGACUGCCGGUAAUAAACCGGAGGAAGGUGGGGAUGACGUCAAAUCAUCAUGCCCCUUAUGACCUGGGCUACACACGUGCUACAAUGGUCGGUACAACGAGUUGCGAGCCGGUGACGGCAAGCUAAUCUCUGAAAGCCGAUCUCAGUUCGGAUUGGAGGCUGCAACUCGCCUCCAUGAAGUCGGAAUCGCUAGUAAUCGCGGAUCAGCACGCCGCGGUGAAUACGUUCCCGGGCCUUGUACACACCGCCCGUCACACCACGAGAGUUUGUAACACCCG